AGCGAACGCUGGCGGCAGGCUUAACACAUGCGAGUCGAGCGGGCGUAGCAAUACGUCCGCGGCAGACGGGUGCGUAACGCGUGGGAACGUACCUUUUGGUUCGGAACAACACAGGGAAACUUGUGCUAAUACCGGAUAAGCCCUUACGGGGAAAGAUUUAUCGCCGAAAGAUCGGCCCGCGUCUGAUUAGCUAGUUGGUGAGGUAACGGCUCACCAAGGCGACGAUCAGUAGCUGGUCUGAGAGGAUGAUCAGCCACAUUGGGACUGAGACACGGCCCAAACUCCUACGGGAGGCAGCAGUGGGGAAUAUUGGACAAUGGGGGCAACCCUGAUCCAGCCAUGCCGCGUGAGUGAUGAAGGCCCUAGGGUUGUAAAGCUCUUUUGUGCGGGAAGAUAAUGACGGUACCGCAAGAAUAAGCCCCGGCUAACUUCGUG
This 435-nucleotide ribosomal RNA is filed under the name uncultured bacterium. Its description in RNAcentral is "partial 16S ribosomal RNA". It matches the Rfam family "Bacterial small subunit ribosomal RNA", at positions 29 to 507 of the family's 1533-position model. The record is from RNAcentral.